This 301-nucleotide ribosomal RNA is filed under the name uncultured bacterium. RNAcentral describes it as "partial 16S ribosomal RNA". It matches the Rfam family "Bacterial small subunit ribosomal RNA", at positions 509 to 809 of the family's 1533-position model. The record is from RNAcentral.
CAGUCGCCGCGGUAAAACGUAGGGUGCAAGCGUUAAUCGGAAUUACUGGGCGUAAAGCGUGCGCAGGCGGUUAUAUAAGACAGAUGUGAAAUCCCCGGGCUCAACCUGGGAACUGCAUUUGUGACUGUAUAGCUAGAGUACGGCAGAGGGGGAUGGAAUUCCGCGUGUAGCAGUGAAAUGCGUAGAUAUGCGGAGGAACACCGAUGGCGAAGGCAAUCCCCUGGGCCUGUACUGACGCUCAUGCACGAAAGCGUGGGGAGCAAACAGGAUUAGAGACCCCUGUAGUCCCUGUCUCUUAUCC